ACGCUGGCGGCAUGCCUUACACAUGCAAGUCGAACGGCAGCACGGGAGCAAUCCUGGUGGCGAGUGGCGAACGGGUGAGUAAUAUAUCGGAACGUGCCCAAUCGUGGGGGAUAACGCAGCGAAAGCUGUGCUAAUACCGCAUACGAUCUACGGAUGAAAGCGGGGGACUCAGCAAUGGGCCUCGCGCGAAUGGAGCGGCCGAUAUCAGAUUAGCUAGUUGGUGGGGUAAAGGCUCACCAAGGCGACGAUCUGUAGCUGGUCUGAGAGGACGACCAGCCACACUGGAACUGAGACACGGUCCAGACUCCUACGGGAGGCAGCAGUGGGGAAUUUUGGACAAUGGGCGCAAGCCUGAUCCAGCAAUGCCGCGUGCAGGAUGAAGGCCUUCGGGUUGUAAACUGCUUUUGUACGGAACGAAAAGACUCCUUCUAAUAAAGGGGGUUCAUGACGGUACCGUAAGAAUAAGCACCGGCUAACUACGUGCCAGCAGCCGCGGUAAUACGUAGGGUGCGAGCGUUAAUCGGAAUUACUGGGCGUAAAGCGUGCGCAGGCGGUGAUGUAAGACAGAUGUGAAAUCCCCGGGCUCAACCUGGGACCUGCAUUUGUGACUGCAUCGCUAGAGUACGGUAGAGGGGGAUGGAAUUCCGCGUGUAGCAGUGAAAUGCGUAGAUAUGCGGAGGAACACCGAUGGCGAAGGCAAUCCCCUGGACCUGUACUGACGCUCAUGCACGAAAGCGUGGGGAGCAAACAGGAUUAGAUACCCU
Molecule: ribosomal RNA, 764 nt
Filed under: uncultured bacterium
Lineage: Bacteria
Description: bacterial SSU rRNA
Rfam family: Bacterial small subunit ribosomal RNA
Source: RNAcentral